UCCCCUGCUGGUGAAGAUCAGGGGUGAGUUCAUUGAAGGCAGUGGGUUUAGUCCAGAGUGAGGUGGGUGUCAGGUCAGAAUCAGGCCCAUCAGGGUAACAAUUUCUUUUCAUGCCAAAAAUCAUGUGUUCAUGUGUCCAAUUUUUAUAUUUUUAGCACCAAAAUGAAAAGUCAAAUAAAGCAGAGGACACCUGUGGCAUUCGGGCAGGCAGCGCACCACAUAGCUACCAGCCCCAGGCUUCGGGGCCAGUGUGGGAGCUCUCAGCUCUCUUGAGUUAGCUGGGGCAAACCAGGGUUGUGUUCAGCGUUCCUGUGGAGCAUCUUGUAGGCACCUCGCCCAGAGACGGACUCUGCAUCGCAGGUCCCUGCUGGACUUCCAUGCUGAGGAUCCAGCUGUAGCUGCUGUUACAGACUCUCCCUGGCAACUGAGGACCUUCUUCUGCAAGUCCCUGAAUGAAUCUGCUUCAGAACAAGAGCAGAAACAAGGUGCAGAAGUCAGCAAGCUCGUACAGAGCCGCAGGAUGCCCAGUUCCCUCAGCCUUUUCACAUUUGCCUGUAUUCCAGCCACUUCAUCAUCAUCAUCUGUUCGUCUUAGCGGAAACAGGCAGGGAGGAAGACUGCUCCGACUCUCUAGUACCUGUUAGGCUGGCACAAAAGACGUGACUCCAGGGCAGGCAGCAGGGAAGGAUCCUCACGGCCACUUGGCACCC
This 709-nucleotide long non-coding RNA is filed under the name Crocodylus porosus (Australian saltwater crocodile). RNAcentral's name for it is "lncRNA (ENSCPRG00005018835.1)". Lineage: Eukaryota; Metazoa; Chordata; Crocodylia; Crocodylidae. The record is from RNAcentral.